GACAAACAAAGAAAAUACACGUUUUAUUCUAUAAGUGUUUGGGGGGAACAAGAAUUCAGAAAAGAAAUUUUAACAUGAAGCAGAUCACGAAAACAAGAAACUGGAAUUUGAUUAUUGUAUUAGAACUUUGGAUAGCAAAACAAUGGAAUUUCAACUGGAACAAGAUACCUGAAAAGAGAGAAAUGAAAAUCCAACGUUUUACCAAAAUGACAACGAGAACACCGAGAUCAACUUCGGAAUAUCAGAGAGAAGAAACUCACAAAUGGAAAAUGAUUUCCGGUGCCUUCUCCCACUGUUCUUUCCCGUUUUAUAAACUGCCUGCCCUUUCAUUUCUUUAAUGUAUUUGGAUCGGGUCCUUAUCCGGCUCUCGGGUUAUCCCAUUUUACACUUUUCACAUCCUCCCUCAAAUCUGGCGGAAUGUAUCUCGCGAGAUUUGAUUGUGCUUGUUGGAGUAAUUGGACAGAUUCUGAUGGCCUGACGAUAAAUGGAACAAGCUUGUGGCGAUGACGGUACUGCAUGAACCCUUCAGUACCCAAAAUUUUUGUGAAUCCAUCUGCCAAUUGUUCGAUUGUUGGUACAUACUCAACUCUAAAAUAUUCCUUUAUUAAUUAGUUCUCGUACAAAAUAAUAGCUAAUCUCUAUGUGUCUGGAACGUGAAGUGAUUGCUGGAUUUUUAGCCAUGAAUAUGGCUGAUUUACUGUCACAUAGUAGUGUUGGGGGAAAACUUAAUUUUAUUUCCAAUUCUCUAAAGAGGUAGUAGAACCAUCUAACAUCUGAUGUUACAUGAGUCAUGGCCUUAAAUUCUGCCUCAGCACUCGAGUUUGAUACUGCCGGUUGCUUUUUAGCAGACCAAGAGAGUAAAUUGUUUCCAUACCAUAUGCUUGACCCUGUUAUUGACCUCCUAUCAGAUGAUCCUCCCCAGUCUGAAUCUGUAUAGGCAAUUAAAUCCAUUCUCUCGUUAAUUCCUUAGUAAUCUGUAGACCUAAAUUAGAAGUCCCUUGUAGGUAUCUCAGUAUUCUUCUUACUGCCAUUAAGUGGCCUUCUUUAGGAUUUUGUAAAAAUUGACAUACUUGAUUUCUGAUGAGUGAGAAGUAUUGUAAACUCUCCACCUUGCUUCUAUAGAUUGUAAUAUCAUCUAAUGGAUUUCCCAUGUCUUGAUGUAACUUUGUAGAUAGAAUCAUUGGUGUUCUAACUGGAUUAGAAUGCUUAUAGACAAACCUUUUUAAUACAUCCUUUGCAUAUUUUUCUUGUCAUAGUACUAUAUUCUCUUCUUGAUAGAUACACUGAAUUCCCAAGAAAAAACUUAAUUUUCCCAUGUCUCUACAUUUGAAUGUUUGACAUAGUUUCUUCACCACUUCAUCUAUUUCUUCUUCAUUUGUUCCUGUGAUGACAAUGUCAUCCACAUACACCAAUAUUAACAGUUUGUGAUCACCCUUUACUUUGUAAAACAAUGAUGCAUCAGCAUUGGAAUUUGUAAAUUUAUUGGAAAUUCACUCCUUCUUGGUUAUACCCUUGAGCUACUAGUCUAGCUUUACAUCUUUCCACACUUCCAUCAUGCUUCCUUUUUACUUUAUAUAUCCAUUUAGAUCCUAUGACAUUCAUAAAUUCUUCUUUUGGUACCAAUACCCAUGUAUCGUAUUCUCUUAUUGCUUUCAUCUCUUCCUCCAUUGCCUCUUUCCAGCAUUUCUGUUUAUUAGCCCGUGAGAAACAAUUUGGCUCCACAAUAUCAUCAGUAAUAGUUAUAUUAUUAUUGCAUUUAUCAGAAGUCAUAUCAAAGUUUUUAUAUAAUAUAUUUGGGAAUUUAAUCCAUUAUGAUCUUCUUAAGUCUAGAAGAGGGGAACUACUCUGACCUUGAGUGUCCAGAGUAGCGGAUGGAUUUAUACUUGGAUUAAAUUCCAAGUUAAUCCCAUUCUCAGUGUUUGGAUUAACAAUUACUGGGGCAGGUUCCAUAUUGUUAUUUGACCUAAUUACGCUUGACUCUAUGGAUGAAUUUUGAACUUCAGUUUGACUUGGUGGAUUUUGAGGAUGAGUUAUAUCUCUGUUAAAAAGUGAAUCAGAAGGUUAGGUGUUUUCAAUCUGUUAAUUAAGUAUGCAGCAGAUGAGAAUACCUCCUGCCAGUAUUCUUGAGGAAUGCCUGCUUUUUUCAUUAAGCAUCUUUCAACUUCAAUUAUUUGUUUGUCUCCUUUCCACUAAUCCAUGUUGUUGUGCUGUAUAAGUGCAUGAUAAUUUAUGGUUUAUCCCUUGUUCUUCUAAAUAUCUUUUAAAUUUAGAAUUUAGAAAUUUCUUUAAUUUUCAUCCCCAAAUAAUUUUCUAUUAAUUUGUGAAAUUUAGUAAAAAUAGAGAAAAAUUCAGAUUUAUUGCUCAUUGGAUAAAACCAUAUAAACCUUGUAUAUUCAUCAACUAUUGAUACAUAAAAUCUAAAGUUUGCAACAGAUGUUGUAGGUGAUGGUCCCCACAGAUCUAUAUGUAGAGUUCUUAAGGGUGUGGAAGCUCUUAUUUCUCUUCUAUUGAACGGUUGUUGAUGUGCUUUCCCCAGGGGAAAGACUUGACAAAACUUCAUUUUGUUUCCCUGUUUAUCCUGAAUUUGUAAUUCUGGUUCAGUUUUCUUCAACACAGCUUCUGAUGGAUGCCCUAAUCUGUCAUGUCAUCUAUCCUUUGUAGUCUUUAUACCAUAGAAAGCUUUGUCAUCUAGAUAGAUGUAAUAGAGGCCUUCUGAGCUACUGCCAGAAAAUAGUAUCUCCAUAGUGACCUGGUCCUUGAUAAAAAAAAAUUUAUCAUUAAAAUGAUUAAGAAAUUUAAGUUUCUAGAUAACUUUUGAAUAGACAUAAGGUUCUUCUUUAACCCGGGUACACACAAAACUCCUUCUAAAUUGUAAUCUUUUCCUUUAAAUUUCAAUGUUACUCUAACUCUAUAUUUAACAUGUAAGUAAUCUCCACUCCCAACUAUUACAUAUUGUGUACCUGGAGCUGUUUCAUAGGCUGUGAAGGCAGUUAGGUCUGGUGUCAUAUGACUGGAUGCUCCUGAAUCAAGGCACCAUGCUGAAUCAUCCAAUGUAGUGGUUGCUGAUAUUGCCAUUUCAGAAGAUGGAAUCUGUUGGUAAUUCUCUGUAUAUGCUGGAAUUGUUGGUUGUUGGAUUGCUGCAUAGGCUGGAUAUGUAUAUUCUGUUGUGUAUGCUGGUGCUGGUGGAGGUAAGUGUGGUGGUAUAUUAGUUGUACUAGUAUUCAGUGCUGAGAAAUUAUUGUAAUCUGGGCACUGUUUAGCUAGGUGACCUUUCUUGUCACAUAUCUGGCAACUUUGUGAUUGAUCAAUGGAAGAAGGUGUUUUGAGUAUUGGUGGUAAUUGAGGCUUUUGUUGUUAUUGUGGUGGUGGUGGUGGUAUCAUGUUAGCUCUUGGGUAUUGGUGAUAAUUUUGUUGUUGUUGAUUAGAGUAAAAUGGUCUGUAAUUAGGGUGUGAAUUGUAGUUUGGUCUAUAGUUGUAAUUUGGUCUGUAGUUAUAGUUUGGUUGAUAAUUUUGAGGUGCUGAAUGGUAAUUUGGAUUGUGGUAGUAAUUGGGAUUGGGAUUAUAGUUAUAAUUGUAGUUUGUGUUGUUCCCCCUAUAGUUGGGUGAAUAACCUCUAGUUAGGAUUGUUUCCUCUAUAGUUAGGACUGUGGCCUCUAUAUCCUGUAUUUGCAACCAUAGCCACUGUGACUUUGGAUUGGCUGUCCUCUAUUCUUUUUAUCAACAAUUCUUCACCAAGCAGCAUAUCUGCUAAUUCAUCAAAUGUAGGCACUUGUGCUCUAUUUCUUAUUGUUGUCAGUAAACAUCUAUACUCAAACCACAAGCCACCUAAUAUGUAAUCCCUCAAGCAAUUAUUAUUUAAAGUUUCUCUUGUAGCAUCUAGGGAUUCGACCAGUCCCUUUACCCUCACAAUGUAUUCUUGCAUUGUUUCUGUGGUGACUUUCUUCAAUGCCCUUAACUGUUCUUUUAUCACGGUUACUUGAGCGUUACUAGUUGGUGAUAGUAAUUUUUCCAAACUUGUCCACCCAUCAUAUGCAAACUUACAUUUUAGCUUUGACUAUAAAGAAAGUAGAAAAAUAGUCUCAGACUAUAAAGAAAGUUAACGAACCCAUGUUAGCUUUGACGACUCCAGACAGGGUCACCAGCCUAUAAAGUGUGUCAACGACCCCAAGAAGAGUCAUUGAACCCAUGGCAAGUUUGAAGACUCCAACUAGGGUCUCUGACCUAAAAUAGAUUCGAUGACUCUAGGGACAUUCAUCAAACCAUGUGGUAACCGCCCACUAAGUCGAAAGUUUCCAAAGCCUUACCUAUAAAUGCAUGUUGUUAUUGUGAAAAAUUGAAUUUAUAAGGUGUUUACGUAAUUCAUUUCAUACUAAGGAUGAAUGAAAGCAACUAAUUCAAUAAUCUGAAUUUUAUUACAGAAUUCUAAUUCUUGGGGGAAAUCGAAUUGAAUUCAGUAAAAUUGAAUUUCACUAUAGAAUUUGUACACAGGAAGAUAGACAAAACAGAAUUUUAUGUAAUUCAGUUCAUGCCGUCUUUUAGGGAGUUUCAAAUCUAUUCAGAUUUCAGUGAAGUCCAAGAAUAUUCUGCAUUGGGUAAAAUUCUGCAAUGUUCUAACUCAAGAUGAACAAUUGAAUUUAUAAGAAGAAAGAACUGAAUUGGAAAGUGUAAUUGAAUUAAAAGAAAGAAAGAAGUGGACAGAAUGAAUCGAACAAUUGAGUUAAGUGAAAGAAAUUACAAAACUGAAAUGAGUAAUUGAAUCAAAAGAUUGAAAGGAAAAUAGGAAUGAAUUAAAAUAAAUUGAAUUGAACAAUUGGGUUAAGUAAAAUAAAUAACGGAAUUGAAACUUGUAGUUGAAUUAAAAGAUAUGAAGGAAAACAGGACAUAAUUAAAAUGAAUAGAAUUGAGCAAUUGAUUUAAAUGAAAGAAAGAGAUUUAGAUCGAACAACAAAUCUCCUAUUUUAACAAGUCAAGAAUCAAACUGCAGAACAAUUAGUUUGGUAUUACUAAAAUGAUCUGAAUUUGACAGACAAAGAAAAUACACGUUUUAUUCUACAAGUGUUUGGGGGGAACAAGAAUUCAUAAAAGAAAUUUUAACAUGAAGCAGAUCACGAAAUCGAGAAACUGGAAUUUGAUUAUUGUAUUAGAACUUUGGACAGCAAAACAAUGGAAUUUCAACUGAAACAAGAUACGUGAAAAGAGAGAAAUGAAAAUCCAACGUUUUACCAAAAUGACAACGAGAACACCGAGAUCAACUUCGGAAUAUCAGAGAGAAGAAACUCACAAAUGGAAAAUGAUUUCCGGUGCCUUCUCCCACUGUUCUUUCCCGUUUUAUAAACUGCCUGCCCUUUCAUUUCUUUAAUGUAUUUGGAUCGG
RNAcentral lists this long non-coding RNA (5373 nucleotides) under Zostera marina. RNAcentral's name for it is "long non-coding RNA (ZMAR_LNC003406)". The record is from RNAcentral. Lineage: Eukaryota; Viridiplantae; Streptophyta; Magnoliopsida; Alismatales; Zosteraceae.